AUAAAAAAGAGCUCGCGUUAUUACGCGAGCCAAAUCUGUAUCUUCCGAACGAUCAAUGAUGAAAGAUACGAAAUGGGAGAGGAGAAACCGGAGGAAGAACUUAUUGGGGAAAUGUAAGUCUUCUCCGCGU
Seinonella peptonophila is the source of this 130-nucleotide regulatory RNA element. It matches the Rfam family "ylbH leader". Rfam says of the family: This family is a putative regulatory RNA structure that is found upstream of the ylbH gene in B. subtilis and related low GC Gram-positive bacteria. NCBI's taxonomy places the organism in Bacteria, Bacillati, Bacillota, Bacilli, Caryophanales, Thermoactinomycetaceae. The record is from Rfam.